CGCGGCGUUACGCCACGGAGAAGCGGUGUCCGUGGGAGGCGGUGCCGGGCCCGCCAUGCCGAAGCGCUCCUGCCCCUUUGGGGAGGCGGCCCCGCUCCAGCUGAAAACACGCGUGGGGCUGCGGGAGCUGAGCCGCGGCGUGCGGGGCGAGGAGUACCGCCGGGAGGUCUUCGAGAGGACCCGGCGGCUGCUCUUCAGGGGCGCCCAGGCGUACAUGGAGGGUGCCUGGCCCGCCAGCCCCGCCGCCACCUGUGCGGUCACCCGCUCGCCGGAGCCGGGCGGGGAGGCCCAGGACGGCAGCGCGGGACGCCGCUGGAGCGAGCAGCUCUUCAUCGGCCACGACGGGAAACUGCUGAGGCGCCCCGCCGCCACGGAGAAGGCAGUUCCACCUGUGGGAGUUUCUAAAGCGUGUUCAUCCUGUGUAAGGACUGCUGAUGUCAAGGAAGCAUGUACACAGUGUGACCGGUUCGUCUGCCAGCACUGCAGCAGGCUCUGCAGCUGCUGUAACACAGUUACCUGUUCUUUGUGUUCUACUAUUGAUUGUAGGCAGUAGGGCCAGAUGUCCACCUGAUAACCUGCACAGCAAUGUCAAAAUCAACGCAGUUUCACCAGGUUUUCUCAGUACUACACAACAACUUCCUGGCUAACAGCAUCUGUGCUAUAAGAACGUAAUAGUGCAAGGAAAUAAGAUAUGGCAGAGUUUACAAAUAAUUAAAGAUCACAACAUUUGCGGUAAGGAUUGUGUCUCCUCUGUUUCUGUGAAGAAUUUUCACUCUUGUAAUCAAUUAUAAUAUCUUCUGUGGGGUAAAGGUUAUGUAUUAUUUGAAAAAUGUGCA
RNA transcript from Grus americana (Whooping crane), 836 nucleotides. It is a transcript of the gene named SIVA1 apoptosis inducing factor, with no coding region annotated. The transcript has 5 exons. NCBI's taxonomy places the organism in Eukaryota, Metazoa, Chordata, Aves, Gruiformes, Gruidae. The record is from RefSeq and is a predicted model, not a curated record.